This 372-nucleotide ribosomal RNA is filed under the name Lauria cylindracea. RNAcentral's name for it is "eukaryotic LSU rRNA". It matches the Rfam family "Eukaryotic large subunit ribosomal RNA", at positions 1 to 364 of the family's 3401-position model. The record is from RNAcentral. Lineage: Eukaryota; Metazoa; Mollusca; Gastropoda; Stylommatophora; Punctidae.
UCCGACCUCAGAUCGGACGAGAUUACCCGCUGAAUUUAAGCAUAUAACUAAGCGGAGGAAAAGAAACUAACAAGGAUUUCCCCAGUAACGGCGAGUGAAGCGGGAAGAGCCCAGCACCGAAUCCCUCAGUGUCACGCUGACGGGAACUGUGGUGUGCGGGACGCCACCAGUCGCACCAGAGGGCACCGAAGUCCUCCUGAUCGGGGCUUCACCCAGAGCGGGUGUAAGGCCUUUGCUGGUGCCUCUCUGUGCGGCCGCGAGCGUCUCAGGAGUCGGGUUGUUUGGGAAUGCAGCCCAAAGCGGGUGGUAAACCCCAUCUAAGGCUAAAUACUGGCACGAGUCCGAUAGCGGACAAGUACCGUGAGGGAAAGU